This 77-nucleotide transfer RNA is filed under the name uncultured archaeon. Its description in RNAcentral is "tRNA-Arg(tct)". The record is from RNAcentral.
GGGCAAGUAGCUCAAAUGGAUAGAGCACGUGCCCUCUAAGCACGGGGUUAUGCGUUCAAACCGCAUCUUGCCUACCA